CGGCGUUGGGUCUGCUCCAUGGGCUGCUUCGCCAGUGUCUAGCAUGCAUUCAGUUGAGCUUUGCCAGCCAAGCCGAUAACGACGACGACGUGCGCCCCCGUCCGAACUGUUACCAGAGUUGUAGUGUCCGUCAGAAGUGGUUCGUGUCCGCGGUAGUACGGAAAGCAAAAGAAGCAACAGCCACAGAAGCCACAACCGCCGCAAGCCGCAGCCAAAACAAAAAAUCAAGAAAACACGUUUUUAACUCCCGCACAUUGAAAAACGCAUUUUUUGCCCAUAACUUGUUGAAAAAAUAGAAAGCAAAAAGUUCAUAAAUCAAGAAUUUCACAAUAUGCAAAAAUUUUAAUUCAUAUAAUUUUCACAUCAAUUUCUUGUUUGUGUUUCAUAAUUUAAUGUGAAAAAAUAGUGGAAAAGGCAUAUAAAUAUUGAUGUGUUUUGGUUUGAGUAGUGUCUCUUUUACUUUUGAAGUUUGUUUCGUUUUUGUGUUAAUUUUUGUGCAUUUUUAAUGAAUUAAUUACAAUUUAUGAGAAGCAACAAUUUCCAAAAAGAGUUUCCUGACCAAUGAACGGGAGGGAGUAGAUAAAAAGCAUUUAAUUUAUAUAAAAUCUAAAAGCUAAAAGCUUCUGUACAAUUGGUUUGCCAUAGACUCGCGACGUGUUUGUUUGGAGGUAAUGUGAUCAGCGAUCUGGAAGCAAUUAGAAGCCGCAUACAACAAAAGGUAAGGGACGAGUACGAACAUCAGCCAGACAUUGAUUUUUGUCAUAACGCCCUCGCUCGCGCCCUCGCAUUCAUUCAACUUUAUUCAUCUUUCGACUCAUUUCCACUCACUGUUUUGAGUUGUGGCCGGCAAAGAGAAAGUGCAUCUCAUGAGGCGGCCGGCCCGUAAUUUGCCAGAACCCAUAAUUAACGCCUAAACAGACACGAGGCGGCCCAACUCGAGCCCCUCUCUGACUCUUUUUUCUCUCUUUUUCAUUAUGGCAAUCAAGUGCUCGUAUUCCGAAUCAAGUGGACUCUGGAAGACAAGAUUUCAUUUCAUUUCGUUACGUUUCUUUUUUAAUUAUAGAGAACACUAGACAGCUCUCGGCUGUGGGUGUGGGUGUGGGUGUGUGGGGGCGUAGGCCCCAGAAACGGGUCAAGAAUUGCCAGAGAUGAAGGGAAAACUGCUAGCGAAAGUUGAAAAAGUGACAAAAAGUAAUGACACGCGAGGGGGGGGAGGGCUUACUUAUACACGUGUAUUCUCCAUCUAAUGGUCUGUUUGGUCUUAGGUAAUCUUAGCGUCUAAAGCGGCUCUUCUCUUACGCAUUAGUGAGGCUCAUCAGGUUCGCCGCUUAAGUCAUUCGUUUCGGCCGCAGACAGUGCGUGGACUUGGCACCGUUACACAGGCCACAGACAUGAUGGCGAAGGGGAAGCGGCAGAAGACGCAGAAGGUGGCUGCCACAAAUGCUGCCUGACGGCGGCUUCAUUAAAAUGUCUGCCUUGAAGAUUGGCCUGGCCAAAACCGUUUUGUUUUCGUAUGCACCCUGGGAUUUUGCUGUAGGGCGCCGAGGGUAUAUAGCGUUUUCGUGUGGAUGUGUGUGUGACAGGCGAAAGAGGAAUUUUAAUUUGCGACUACACUUGAUUCUCUGAUACUCUGACAUCCGUAAGAUAUUGCCAUCAUAUGGCUAUCAGCCAUAGCUACAGGGUAAUCCCCUUGCCGUAAUACCGUUCUAGGCCGCUUUGGCUUGUUUGAAAUUGAAACGUCUAUGUCUGGUGUGCAGAGACUGCGGCUGAGACGGCCAAAUGCAUCAUCGUCUGUGGCACGUUGUGGAUGUCAGCUUAUCGCGCCAGACGAACGCAUCUUGGCGGGUUGGAAGGGGCGAAAGGAGAGGAAGGGGAGGCCAUGGCUUUGGGCCUGCUCAGGGUCUGAAGCUUCCGCCUUGGCCAGGUUCAAGAUACACCAGCUUCAGCUGAAGCUACAGCUUAAGCUUCAAUUCCAACGCCCGCCGCCACAGCCCCAGCCACAGCCACAGCCAUCGUCAUCGCCACCAGCGAGCAAUUUUCAAUUUGCCAAUUGUAGCAGUAAAAUUUUGUAUAUGUAGCUGUUCUUUCUGUCGCUUCUCUCUCGCUCUUUA
Long non-coding RNA from Drosophila obscura, 2111 nucleotides. RefSeq lists it as uncharacterized. The record is from RefSeq and is a predicted model, not a curated record. The transcript is spliced from 4 exons. NCBI's taxonomy places the organism in Eukaryota, Metazoa, Arthropoda, Insecta, Diptera, Drosophilidae.